GAUGAACGCUGGCGGCGUGCCUAAUACAUGCAAGUCGAGCGAACGGACGAGAAGCUUGCUUCUCUGAUGUUAGCGGCGGACGGGUGAGUAACACGUGGAUAACCUACCUAUAAGACUGGGAUAACUUCGGGAAACCGGAGCUAAUACCGGAUAAUAUUUUGAACCGCAUGGUUCAAAAGUGAAAGACGGUCUUGCUGUCACUUAUAGAUGGAUCCGCGCUGCAUUAGCUAGUUGGUAAGGUAACGGCUUACCAAGGCAACGAUGCAUAGCCGACCUGCGAGGGUGAUCGGCCACACUGGAACUUAGACACGGUCAAGACUCCUACGGGAGGCAGCAGUAGGGAAUCUUCCGCAAUGGGCGAAAGCCUGACGGAGCAACGCCGCGUGAGUGAUGAAGGUCUUCGGAUCGUAAAACUCUGUUAUUAGGGAAGAACAUAUGUGUAAGUAACUGUGCACAUCUUGACGGUAACUAAUCAGAAAGCCACGGCUAACUACGUG
RNAcentral lists this ribosomal RNA (497 nucleotides) under uncultured bacterium. Its description in RNAcentral is "partial 16S ribosomal RNA". It matches the Rfam family "Bacterial small subunit ribosomal RNA", at positions 28 to 507 of the family's 1533-position model. The record is from RNAcentral.